RNAcentral lists this ribosomal RNA (465 nucleotides) under uncultured bacterium. Its description in RNAcentral is "bacterial SSU rRNA". It matches the Rfam family "Bacterial small subunit ribosomal RNA", at positions 330 to 793 of the family's 1533-position model. The record is from RNAcentral.
UCCAGACUCCUACGGGAGGCAGCAGUGAGGAAUAUUGGUCAAUGGCCGCAGGGCUGAACCAGCCAAGUCGCGUGAGGGAUGACGGUCCUAUGGAUUGUAAACCUCUUUUGUCAGGGAGCAAAGGGCGCCACGUGUGGCGUUUUGCGAGUACCUGAAGAAAAAGCAUCGGUUAACUCCGUGCCAGCAGCCGCGGUAAUACGGAGGAUGCGAGCGUUAUCCGGAUUUAUUGGGUUUAAAGGGUGCGCAGGCGGAAUGUCAAGUCAGCGGUAAAAUUUCGGGGCUCAACCCCGUCGUGCCGUUGAAACUGGCGUUCUUGAGUGAGCGGGAAGUAUGCGGAAUGCGUGGUGUAGCGGUGAAAUGCAUAGAUAUCACGCAGAACUCCGAUUGCGAAGGCAGCUUACUAAACUAUAACUGACACUGAAGCACGAAAGCGUGGGGAUCAAACAGGAUUAGAUACCCCCGUAC